AUGAACGCUGGCGGCGUGCCUAAUACAUGCAAGUCGAGCGAACAGAUGAGGAGCUUGCUCCUCUGACGUUAGCGGCGGACGGGUGAGUAACACGUGGAUAACCUACCUAUAAGGCUGGGAUAACUUCGGGAAACCGGAGCUAAUACCGGAUAAUAUAUUGAACCGCAUGGUUCAAUAGUGAAAGACGGUUUUGCUGUCACUUAUAGAUGGAUCCGCGCCGCAUUAGCUAGUUGGUAAGGUAACGGCUUACCAAGGCAACGAUGCGUAGCCGACCUGAGAGGGUGAUCGGCCACACUGGAACUGAGACACGGUCCAGACUCCUACGGGAGGCAGCAGUAGGGAAUCUUCCGCAAUGGGCGAAAGCUUGACGGAGCAACGCCGCGUGAGUGAUGAAGGUCUUCGGAUCGUAAAACUCUGUUAUUAGGGAAGAACAAAUGUGUAAGUAACUAUGCACGUCUUGACGGUACCUAAUCAGAAAGCCACGGCUAACUACGUG
This 496-nucleotide ribosomal RNA is filed under the name uncultured bacterium. RNAcentral's name for it is "partial 16S ribosomal RNA". It matches the Rfam family "Bacterial small subunit ribosomal RNA", at positions 29 to 507 of the family's 1533-position model. The record is from RNAcentral.